Molecule: ribosomal RNA, 429 nt
Filed under: Bacteroidota bacterium
Lineage: Bacteria; Pseudomonadati; Bacteroidota
Description: Bacteroidetes bacterium partial 16S ribosomal RNA
Rfam family: Bacterial small subunit ribosomal RNA
Source: RNAcentral
UAGGGAAUCUUCGGCAAUGGGGGGAACCCUGACCGAGCAACGCCGCGUGAGUGAAGAAGGUUUUCGGAUCGUAAAGCUCUGUUGUUAAGGAAGAACGAGUGUGAGAAUGGAAAGUUCAUACUGUGACGGUACUUAACCAGAAAGGGACGGCUAACUACGUGCCAGCAGCCGCGGUAAUACGUAGGUCCCGAGCGUUGUCCGGAUUUAUUGGGCGUAAGGCGAGCGCAGGCGGUUAGAUAAGUCUGAAGUUAAAGGCAGUGGCUCAACCAUUGUAGGCUUUGGAAACUGUUUAACUUGAGUGCAGAAGGGGAGAGUGGAAUUCCAUGUGUAGCGGUGAAAUGCGUAGAUAUAUGGAGGAACACCGGUGGCGAAAGCGGCUCUCUGGUCUGUAACUGACGCUGAGGCUCGAAAGCGUGGGGAGCGAACAGG